AUGCGAUAAGUAAUGUGAAUUGCAGAAUUCAGUGAAUCAUCGAAUCUUUGAACGCACAUUGCGCCCGCUGGUAUUCCGGCGGGCAUGCCUGUUCGAGCGUCAUUUCAACCCUCAAGCCCCCGGGUUUGGUGUUGGGGAUCGGCUCUGCCUUACGGCGGUGCCGCCCCCGAAAUACAUUGGCGGUCUCGCUGCAGCCUCCAUUGCGUAGUAGCUAACACCUCGCAACUGGAACGCGGCGCGGCCAUGCCGUAAAACCCCAACUUCUGAAUGUUGACCUCGGAUCAGGUAGGAAUACCCGCUGAACUUAA
RNAcentral lists this unclassified non-coding RNA (308 nucleotides) under uncultured Gibberella. RNAcentral's name for it is "partial contains 5.8S ribosomal RNA, internal transcribed spacer 2, and large subunit ribosomal RNA". The stretch from base 1 to 102 matches the Rfam family "5.8S ribosomal RNA", at positions 53 to 154 of the family's 154-position model. The record is from RNAcentral. Lineage: Eukaryota; Fungi; Ascomycota; Sordariomycetes; Hypocreales; Nectriaceae.